RNAcentral lists this ribosomal RNA (333 nucleotides) under uncultured eukaryote. Its description in RNAcentral is "partial 18S ribosomal RNA". It matches the Rfam family "Eukaryotic small subunit ribosomal RNA", at positions 1470 to 1796 of the family's 1831-position model. The record is from RNAcentral.
CCCUUAGAUGUUCGGGGCCGCACGCGCGCUACACUGAAGGAAUCAGCGUGCCAUCGUCCUGGCCCGGAAGGGCCGGGCAACCCGUUGAACCUCCUUCGUGCUAGGGAUCGGGGCUUGCAAUUCUUGCCCGUGAACGAGGAAUUCCCAGUAAGCGCGAGUCAUCAGCUCGUGUUGAUUACGUCCCUGCCCUUUGUACACACCGCCCGUCGCUACUACCGAUUGAAUGGUUUAGUGAGACCCUCGGAUCCGUCCCGGCGCGGCCGUUCGCGGCCGCGCCGGCGCGCGGAGAAGACGGUCGAACUUGAUCAUUUAGAGGAAGUAAAAGUCGUAACA